AAGCCAUAGGAGUCUCUGCUGCCGUCAUUGUUCUCCUUGUGGUCACUGCUGUGAUGGCCCUUGUGGUGUGGAGGAGGAAGAGGGCAGGUGUGAAAGGAGGGAGCUACGCUCAGGCUGCAAGCAGUGACCACACCCGGGGCUCUGACUCAUCGCUCAUGACCUGAAAAGGAGGGAGCUGGCCGUGUGGGACGAGUGACAUGAUUUUUGACCUGGAGAACCCCAAUGCUCUGUCUGCAGAUGGCUUCUGACUGGGGCUCCGUUCCGUUCUGUCCAAUG
This is a long non-coding RNA of Octodon degus (degu), 276 nucleotides long. RefSeq lists it as uncharacterized. The record is from RefSeq and is a predicted model, not a curated record. The transcript is spliced from 6 exons. NCBI's taxonomy places the organism in Eukaryota, Metazoa, Chordata, Mammalia, Rodentia, Octodontidae.